Molecule: ribosomal RNA, 3069 nt
Filed under: Ulva flexuosa
Lineage: Eukaryota; Viridiplantae; Chlorophyta; Ulvophyceae; Ulvales; Ulvaceae
Description: 23S ribosomal RNA
Rfam family: Bacterial large subunit ribosomal RNA
Source: RNAcentral
CUUUUGUUGCGAAAAGGGCUUGGAGAAUUGAGCAAGUCCCUGUGCUAGGCUGUUUUAUUAAAACCUCUCUUUUACACACUUGCCUAUACUAUGAUAAUACAAUAAUUUCUAUUCUAAGUAGAUUUCUAUUUUGAGAGUUAUUAAAGUGCUGUAUGUAAGUAUAGAAUUCGCCCGAUAAGCCCGUUCUCUAAGGUGGAAACACUGUAUUAAACAGUAUACACCAAAACUCAAUGAACUAAAAGAUUUUAUUAAUUGAAGGAAAAGAAACCAACCGGGAUUGCGCUAGUAGUACAGAGCGAAAGUGCAUAAGCUUGAUUAAAUAUUUUUUGUUUACGGUUGAACUUAAGUGGAAUCCGGACCAGAGAAAGUUAUAGUCUUGUAGAUUGUAAACAAAAAAGUGCUGUAACCUUUGCCCUUGCCUAUGGCUUCGGACAAAGGUUAUUUAUGAGCAUGAACUAUUUAUUUUUUGGCAUAAUCCAGAAAAGUAAUAAAUGGGAAGAUCAAUCAAAUUAGUGGUUUAACACUGCUAGUAAUUGACGGAAACCACUCCGUUGGCUAAAUAUUCUAUGUAGAUCGAUAGUGAAUCAGUACUGUAAAGGAAUUUGGAAACAAGAAUGCCGUUGCUUCUCUGAAUACAAGUCCCAAAACAGGUUGCUUAUAAUGACUUUCAGUUUGGCAGUUAUAAUGUUGAAUAGAAAGGUUCCUUUUGAAUCAUGAGCUGAUGACUUUGUGUUAGUUUAAGGCAUACAUUAAUUGUUCCCUUUGGUUUAAUCAAAAAAAGUAAAAUUGAUGUGAGUAGCUUAAUUUAUUAAAAGUAAGCUUAUUAUGAAAGUAAAGUAUUCAUAGAAAACUAACACAAGACGCGAAACGAAGUGAGCUUAAGUAGGCCAGGGGGAAGGUUACCGGAAGGUAGUUGGACGCCCGAAGUGGUAUGCGUUGCAACGCGUUCAUAUGAGUUUAUUUAAGUGGCGAAAUACCAAUCGAACUUCGAAAUAUCUCGUUUUUUGCGAAACCUUUUUAGGAAGGGGGCCUGCAAAAUAAAUGCUAACUAGGUAGAGCGCUGUAAAACUGAUGGGAAGGAAACUUUUACUGAGGUGUUGCAAACCACAAAUUAGGGGCAUUUUAUCAGGUACUCAGUCAGUGCGGGACAAGCUGCAUUUGACAAGAAGGAAACAGCCUAGACUAUGAAUUAAGGCCCGAAAAUAGCGCUAAGUGAGAAAGUAAUUAACUUCACAAAAAUUAGUAGGACGUUUGAUUAGUAGCAUCUACCGUUUCAAGAAAGCGUAAUAGCUCACUACUAUAGUUUAGUUGUUGCGAAAAUUUAGCCGGACUAAGCGCUAUGCCGAAAUUAUAGCUAGCUGGCUGCUAUAAAAGCCAGUUAGAGUAGCAAAACGAACCAUGUUGACAAAGUUAUGUCGGUAAGACUUAAUGAAAAUAUUGGUUGUGAAUAUAUCAGCUAGAGUAACAUAUAAAUUGAGAUUUUAAAAUAAAUUAUAGCUUUUUAAUCUUGGUUUAACCCUUGUAUUUAUAUAAAUAUAAAAAGUUUAUUUAUUAAAAGAAUAGUAUCUCAAUGAUCGGAAAUCCUGGGUUUUCUACACAACUAUUAAAGAUGUAGUUAAAAAUACGGUCCCUAAGUAAUAUAAAGGUUACGAUGGGUACCUGCUAUGCCCAAUAAAAUCUUAUUUGUAGAUCUGUUGCAGGAAAAAAUAGCAGGCAAUUUAUACAACAAUAUAUUUGUUUUUGCGUGUACAAAUGAGUAAUACCGUACUAAAACUGACUCUGGUGGAUUAGUAGAUUUUACUAAGAUUUGGUUAUAAUCGUUCGUAAGGAACUCGGCAAAUUGCGCUGGUACUUUCGAAAACAGCGGUCUAAAAGUUAUGUUUUAGAUCUCAGAUAAGAGAACUGGGUGACAGUUUACUAAAAACUUAGCGUCCUGCCAAUUUGAAACAAGACGUAUAGGAUGUGACGUUUGCUAACGGCCACUAAUUUAAGUAAUCUGUUGUAAAAGGUAGAUAAACAAGAUGUGGUGACGAGCGGCCGUAACUAUAACGGUCAUAAAGUAGCGAAAUUCCUAGGCAUUUAAUUGGUGUCCUGCAUGAAUAACGUAACAACCUGGUUGCUGUCUCGCGAGCGAAAACCGUGAAAUAAGAAUAUCGGUUAAAAUACCGAUUAGGCUGUCUUAGACGAUAAGACCCUGUGAAGCUUUACUGUAACCUAGCAUUGCGAUCGGUUUUUUAUCUUACAGUUAGGCGGGAGGCAAUGCCAACAAUGGAAAACCGCUAGAUAAUAAAUUGGUCGCUUUUAUACAAGAGUACUUUUUAAUCUAUAAGAUAUUUAUAUAAGGGGCAUUAUAUAAAAAAUUUUAUGCAAAUAGAAUAAACUUUAUGUAAAUAAACCUCUAUAUAAAAUACUUUAAUUAACAAGGCUCGAAGACAGUGUUAGGUGGGCAGUUUACUUGGGGCGAGGUCUGGCUAAAAAGUAACGCCAGAGAGCAAAAGGUAUGCUCAGUAUUGUCGGAAACAAUAUGUAGAGCGUAAUAGUAUAAGCAUGCCUGAUUAUAAGACUGACAAGUCAAAUAAGGACGAAAGUCUGCUAUAGUGACCCUCACAUGCUAGGUGGAAAGGUGUGAGAUCAACGAAUCAAAGUUACUCCAGGGAUAACAGGGUAGUCCUGGCUUAUAGUUCUUAUAGACGCCAGGGUUCGCCACCUCGAUGUUGCCUCAGGUCAUCCUAGAGCUGCACAAGGUUCUAAGGGCGCAACUGUUCUUUGCAUAAUGACCUACGUGAGGUGAGUUUAAACCGCCGUAAGGCAGGUUUGGUUCUAUCUAGACAGCCAUAAUAUUUAACCAAGCACUAGAAUUCCACUGUACGAAAGGACCCGGAAUUCCGCGCCAAUGGUUUAGCAAUUGUUUUGAAAAAAGCACUGUUGCAACGCUAAGCGCGAAAUGUUAAUUGCUGAAAAACUAUCAAGCAAGAAACAAUUGUAAAGGUUAUAGUAGAUCGCAUUUGCGUAAAUAGGCGCGGGGUGUACACUUUGUAAGAAGCUGAGCUACCGCGUACUAAUCUUUUU